This 1372-nucleotide ribosomal RNA is filed under the name Lactiplantibacillus plantarum. Its description in RNAcentral is "bacterial SSU rRNA". It matches the Rfam family "Bacterial small subunit ribosomal RNA", at positions 25 to 1361 of the family's 1533-position model. Lineage: Bacteria; Bacillati; Bacillota; Bacilli; Lactobacillales; Lactobacillaceae. The record is from RNAcentral.
CAGGACGAACGCUGGCGGCGUGCCUAAUACAUGCAAGUCGAACGAACUCUGGUAUUGAUUGGUGCUUGCAUCAUGAUUUACAUUUGAGUGAGUGGCGAACUGGUGAGUAACACGUGGGAAACCUGCCCAGAAAGCGGGGGAUAACACCUGGAAACAGAUGCUAAUACCGCAUAACAACUUGGACCGCAUGGUCCGAGUUUGAAAGAUGGCUUCGGCUAUCACUUUUGGAUGGUCCCGCGGCGUAUUAGCUAGAUGGUGGGGUAACGGCUCACCAUGGCAAUGAUACGUAGCCGACCUGAGAGGGUAAUCGGCCACAUUGGGACUGAGACACGGCCCAAACUCCUACGGGAGGCAGCAGUAGGGAAUCUUCCACAAUGGACGAAAGUCUGAUGGAGCAACGCCGCGUGAGUGAAGAAGGGUUUCGGCUCGUAAAACUCUGUUGUUAAAGAAGAACAUAUCUGAGAGUAACUGUUCAGGUAUUGACGGUAUUUAACCAGAAAGCCACGGCUAACUACGUGCCAGCAGCCGCGGUAAUACGUAGGUGGCAAGCGUUGUCCGGAUUUAUUGGGCGUAAAGCGAGCGCAGGCGGUUUUUUAAGUCUGAUGUGAAAGCCUUCGGCUCAACCGACGAAGUGCAUCGGAAACUGGGAAACUUGAGUGCAGAAGAGGACAGUGGAACUCCAUGUGUAGCGGUGAAAUGCGUAGAUAUAUGGAAGAACACCAGUGGCGAAGGCGGCUGUCUGGUCUGUAACUGACGCUGAGGCUCGAAAGUAUGGGUAGCAAACAGGAUUAGAUACCCUGGUAGUCCAUACCGUAAACGAUGAAUGCUAAGUGUUGGAGGGUUUCCGCCCUUCAGUGCUGCAGCUAACGCAUUAAGCAUUCCGCCUGGGGAGUACGGCCGCAAGGCUGAAACUCAAAGGAAAUUGACGGGGGCCCGCACAAGCGGUGGAGCAUGUGGUUUAAUUCGAAGCUACGCGAAGAACCUUACCAGGUCUUGACAUACUAUGCAAAUCUAAGAGAUUAGACGUUCCCUUCGGGGACAUGGAUACAGGUGGUGCAUGGUUGUCGUCAGCUCGUGUCGUGAGAUGUUGGGUUAAGUCCCGCAACGAGCGCAACCCUUAUUAUCAGUUGCCAGCAUUAAGUUGGGCACUCUGGUGAGACUGCCGGUGACAAACCGGAGGAAGGUGGGGAUGACGUCAAAUCAUCAUGCCCCUUAUGACCUGGGCUACACACGUGCUACAAUGGAUGGUACAACGAGUUGCGAACUCGCGAGAGUAAGCUAAUCUCUUAAAGCCAUUCUCAGUUCGGAUUGUAGGCUGCAACUCGCCUACAUGAAGUCGGAAUCGCUAGUAAUCGCGGAUCAGCAUGCCGCG